This 465-nucleotide ribosomal RNA is filed under the name uncultured bacterium. RNAcentral's name for it is "partial 16S ribosomal RNA". It matches the Rfam family "Bacterial small subunit ribosomal RNA", at positions 338 to 795 of the family's 1533-position model. The record is from RNAcentral.
CCUACGGGUGGCAGCAGUGGGGAAUAUUGCGCAAUGGGCGCAAGCCUGACGCAGCGACGCCGCGUGAGGGAUGAAGGUCUUCGGAUCGUAAACCUCUGUCAGCAGGGAAGAACGGUCACUGUGCUAAUCAGCAGUGAAUUGACGGUACCUGCAAAGGAAGCACCGGCUAACUCCGUGCCAGCAGCCGCGGUAAUACGGAGGGGGCGAGCGUUAAUCGGAAUUACUGGGCGUAAAGCGCUCGUAGGCGGUAUGUCAAGUCAAGGGUGAAAUCCCCGCGCUCAACGUGGGAACUGCCUUUGAAACUGGGGAACUGGAGUGUGUGAGAGGAUAGUGGAAUUCCAGGUGUAGGAGUGAAAUGCGUAGAUAUCUGGAGGAACAGCAGUGGCGAAGGCGGCUAUCUGGCACAUAACUGACGCUGAGGAGCGAAAGCGUGGGGAGCAAACAGGAUUAGAUACCCGUGUAGUC